RNAcentral lists this ribosomal RNA (175 nucleotides) under uncultured bacterium. RNAcentral's name for it is "partial 16S ribosomal RNA". It matches the Rfam family "Bacterial small subunit ribosomal RNA", at positions 1325 to 1500 of the family's 1533-position model. The record is from RNAcentral.
GCCGGAAUUGCUAGUAAUGGCAGGUCAGCAUACUGCCGUGAAUACGUUCCCGGGCCUUGUACACACCGCCCGUCACACCAUGAGAGUUGGGAAUACCCGAAGCCUGUGAGCUAACAUUAUGAGGCAGCAGUCGAAGGUAGAAUCAAUGAUUGGGGUGAAGUCGUAACAAGGUAUC